GAAAGCCGAAUGUGGAAAAACCGCAUGUACGAUUUGAUGAGGGAGUGCUGCCGCAAGGCAACUUUCUACUCUAC
Molecule: non-coding RNA, 74 nt
Filed under: Candidatus Nitrotoga sp. CP45
Lineage: Bacteria; Pseudomonadati; Pseudomonadota; Betaproteobacteria; Nitrosomonadales; Gallionellaceae
Source: RNAcentral